RNAcentral lists this ribosomal RNA (522 nucleotides) under uncultured bacterium. RNAcentral's name for it is "bacterial SSU rRNA". It matches the Rfam family "Bacterial small subunit ribosomal RNA", at positions 355 to 889 of the family's 1533-position model. The record is from RNAcentral.
UGGGGAAUCUUGGACAAUGGGCGCAAGCCUGAUCCAGCCAUGCCGCGUGAGCGAUGAAGGCCUUAGGGUUGUAAAGCUCUUUCACCGGUGAAGAUAAUGACGGUAGCCGGAGAAGAAGCCCCGGCUAACUCCGUGCCAGCAGCCGCGGUAAUACGGAGGGGGCUAGCGUUGUUCGGAAUUACUGGGCGUAAAGCGCGCGUAGGCGGACUGAUCAGUCAGGGGUGAAAUCCCGGGGCUCAACCCCGGAACUGCCUCCAAAACUAUUGGUCUAGAGUUCGAGAGAGGUGAGUGGAAUUCCAAAGUGUAGAGGUGAAAUUCGUAGAUAUUUGGAGGAACACCAGUGGCGAAAGGCGGCUCACUGGCUCGAUACUGACGCUGAGGUGCGAAAAGUGUGGGGAGCAAAACAGGAUUAGAUACCCUGGUAGUCCACACCGUAAAACGAUGAAAUGCCAGUCGUCGGGUAGCAUGCUAUUCGGUGACACACCUAACGGAUUAAAGCAUUCCGCCUGGGAGUACGGUCGC